This 960-nucleotide ribosomal RNA is filed under the name uncultured Gram-positive bacterium. RNAcentral's name for it is "bacterial SSU rRNA". It matches the Rfam family "Bacterial small subunit ribosomal RNA", at positions 9 to 950 of the family's 1533-position model. The record is from RNAcentral.
GAGUUUGAUUCUGGCUCAGGAUGAACGCUGGCGGCGUGCCUAAUACAUGCAAGUCGAGCGAACAGACGAGGAGCUUGCUCCUCUGACGUUAGCGGCGGACGGGUGAGUAACACGUGGAUAACCUACCUAUAAGACUGGGAUAACUUCGGGAAACCGGAGCUAAUACCGGAUAAUAUAUUGAACCGCAUGGUUCAAUAGUGAAAGACGGUUUUGCUGUCACUUAUAGAUGGAUCCGCGCCGCAUUAGCUAGUUGGUAAGGUAACGGCUUACCAAGGCAACGAUGCGUAGCCGACCUGAGAGGGUGAUCGGCCACACUGGAACUGAGACACGGUCCAGACUCCUACGGGAGGCAGCAGUAGGGAAUCUUCCGCAAUGGGCGAAAGCCUGACGGAGCAACGCCGCGUGAGUGAUGAAGGUCUUCGGAUCGUAAAACUCUGUUAUUAGGGAAGAACAAAUGUGUAAGUAACUAUGCACGUCUUGACGGUACCUAAUCAGAAAGCCACGGCUAACUACGUGCCAGCAGCCGCGGUAAUACGUAGGUGGCAAGCGUUAUCCGGAAUUAUUGGGCGUAAAGCGCGCGUAGGCGGUUUUUUAAGUCUGAUGUGAAAGCCCACGGCUCAACCGUGGAGGGUCAUUGGAAACUGGAAAACUUGAGUGCAGAAGAGGAAAGUGGAAUUCCAUGUGUAGCGGUGAAACGCGCAGAGAUAUGGAGGAACACCAGUGGCGAAGGCGACUUUCUGGUCUGUAACUGACGCUGAUGUGCGAAAGCGUGGGGAUCAAACAGGAUUAGAUACCCUGGUAGUCCACGCCGUAAACGAUGAGUGCUAAGUGUUAGGGGGUUUCCGCCCCUUAGUGCUGCAGCUAACGCAUUAAGCACUCCGCCUGGGGAGUACGACCGCAAGGUUGAAACUCAAAGGAAUUGACGGGGACCCGCACAAGCGGUGGAGCAUGUGGUUUAAU